RNAcentral lists this transfer RNA (81 nucleotides) under Lachnospiraceae bacterium. RNAcentral describes it as "tRNA-Leu". It matches the Rfam family "tRNA". From Rfam's summary of the family: Transfer RNA (tRNA) molecules are approximately 80 nucleotides in length. Their secondary structure includes four short double-helical elements and three loops (D, anti-codon, and T loops). Lineage: Bacteria; Bacillati; Bacillota; Clostridia; Lachnospirales; Lachnospiraceae. The record is from RNAcentral.
GCGGAUAUGGCGGAAUUGGCAGACGCGCCAGAUUUAGGUUCUGGUACUUAUGGUGUGGGGGUUCAAGUCCCCCUAUCCGCA